Molecule: ribosomal RNA, 497 nt
Filed under: uncultured bacterium
Lineage: Bacteria
Description: partial 16S ribosomal RNA
Rfam family: Bacterial small subunit ribosomal RNA
Source: RNAcentral
GAUGAACGCUGGCGGCGUGCCUAAUACAUGCAAGUCGAGCAAACGGACGAGAAGCUUGCUUCUCUGAUGUUAGCGGCGGACGGGUGAGUAACACGUGGAUAACCUACCUAUAAGACUGGGAUAACUUCGGGAAACCGGAGCUAAUACCGGAUAAUAUUUUGAACCGCAUGGUUCAAAAGCGAAAGACGGUCUUGCUGUCACUUAUAGAUGGAUCCGCGCUGCAUUAGCUAGUUGGUAAGGUAACGGCUUACCAAGGCAACGAUGCAUAGCCGACCUGAGAGGGUGAUCGGCCACACUGGAACUGAGACACGGUCCAGACUCCUACGGGAGGCAGCAGUAGGGAAUCUUCCGCAAUGGGCGAAAGCCUGACGGAGCAACGCCGCGUGAGUGAUGAAGGUCUUCGGAUCGUAAAACUCUGUUAUUAGGGAAGAACAUAUGUGUAAGUAACUGUGCACAUCUUGACGGUACCUAAUCAGAAAGCCACGGCUAACUACGUG